RNAcentral lists this long non-coding RNA (35344 nucleotides) under Coffea arabica (coffee). RNAcentral describes it as "long non-coding RNA (CARA_LNC004517)". The record is from RNAcentral. Lineage: Eukaryota; Viridiplantae; Streptophyta; Magnoliopsida; Gentianales; Rubiaceae.
UUUUUUUUUUUUUUUGGUCCUAAACUCCCAAACCAAGUCUUAAUCUUUUAUAACAAUCUUCUUAGUGCUGUCAAUAAAGCGGCAAAAAACUGAUCAAACAGCCACACAAACUAAUUUUUUUUGAAGGAAUUUGAACCAUUAAUUUCAUUAUUCAUCACACGAUCCCUCCUAUAAUUGCAUAGGAUCCCAAUCCUGCGCAACCAUUGUUCAUUCUCAGAUGGAUUAUGGGCUUUUAGUCGCUGCAAGAGAAAUCAUUGGAGACUUGGGCCCGUUGAGAAAUGAUGUGCUUGGGCCCGUUUGGAUUCAGUUUUUGGCGAAAGAAAAACACUACUUUUGUUUAUAUAUAUAUUUUUAUCUCAUAUGAAUAAAAAAUUAAGUUGCAAAAGUCUGUCUACAUUGGUUCUCCUUAAAAGAUUAAUUAAAAAAAAAAAAGUCUUUGGGGAAACAAUCGUUUUCCACCUCACAAAAGGUAGUUAAAGAAAUUGGGGUUCCAUUUCUGACUUUAUCGAGAAAAAGCUAUUUUCGUCCGCUAAUUUAGGCCAGAAUCAUCACCGGAGUUUUCGGCGCUUUUAAGGCCGGCGAAAUUCUCAUCUGAACAAUAAUAUACCCUGAGAAAUAUUUUACUUGAUUUAAGUACCAACCUCAGAAUCCUGGCUAAAAAUUAUUUUCUCCAUUAGGUGGGGGCAUGCGACCCCACAAGGUCGAGAGGUCAAAGUUCCCUAGAAUCGAGUCACUCAAAAGCUUGCCUAGGUGAAUUAAAGGAUCCGUAUGAACACCCGUUUUGAUUAUUAUUUUUAGAAAUUUUUAUUUAAAAAAUAUAUAAUAAUAAUUUGAUAUAUAUGACAUAAAAUAAUUUGACGUAAAAAAUUGCAAGCCAAACAAGACCAAGUAAAAGAAUGCAGCAAGAUUCUCAAUUGGAAUAUUGCUGCUUGCUACUAUUUUGUCACCAAUUAGCUACAAGUGAUCUGAAAUACUAGAUCACAAUUUAAUCAAUAAAUUAGAAAAAAAAAAAAACGAAUCAACACUAGCAAGCAAAGCUUGGUGCAUUACUUUGUAAUGUGAUUUUGAUGAUUUCUAUUAAAUUUAGACAAAAAUAUUCCUUAGAAAAAUUUUAGACAAAAAAUAUAACAUUGUUCACUCUAAGAAUGUAGGUGGUAUUAAAGGUGGUCUAGGAAAGUUUUUCUUUUUCUUUUCUGUUUUCUGUCCAAAGAUUACAAUCGAAAGACUGUGAUGUGUUCAAUGCACGCAUAGGGGUUUGACAAAUAUCGAGCGCAGUGUGUUUGGACAGUAGGUUAUUUGUCCAAAUUUAUUUGCUUACAUCACUAUUACAAUUUUUAAUAUAUCUUUUUAUUUCACAUACAUCACAUCACAAAAAGUGUUACAGUACUUAUUUCAAAUAAUAUUUCAAAUAAUCUCCUAUCCAAACACUAGAAAUUUUGGGUUCAAAUCCUUCUAACCUCCUCACUUCUUAAGUUAUACAAUCUCCCUGCUGAAAAAGAUUUUUUUUUUUAAAAAAAAUAAACACUUCCUCUAUAGUCUAUAUUUGCAAGUAGCACUUCUUAUAUUAGUUGGGAAGUGAUAUUUGCACUUUUAAAUAAGCUUUUAACACUUUUUGGAGGCAUAUUAAGUAGCGAGUGGAUCGAAGUGUAAGAGGCUUAAGUGGGAAUGCGAAUAUCAAUUUCCUUUCCCUCCGUCCCACUUUAAUAGUUCUGGUUUUUUUUUCACACAGUUUAAGAAAAAGUAGUUAACUUUGUUGGAACAAUCAAUUUAGGUAGCUAUUUUCCUAAAAUACCCUCAUAUUAAUUAGAGUAUAACUUUAUGAGAACUUGAAUUGAUGGUAAAAAAAGAAUCAACUCUCAUUAAAUGGGGUAGGUUUAUAGUAACAACAACUUACAUUGAAUAAGGAUAUUUUAGAAAAAUUAAAAUACAACUACAUUCUUCAAUUGGAAAGUGGAUUACAAUUUGGGACAGACGAAAAAGGAAAACAGGACGAUCAAAGUGGGACGGAGGGAGUAUUAGUUAGUUAAAAAGAGAGACUUCUUAAUUGAGGAUACAAUAUGUGAACCGAGUUCUUGUGAUGAAAAAAAAAAAACUUAUUUCUUGCGUCUUAUCAAGGUUGAUGUUCACUCCUUCAUUUUCCUAUCUAGUUAAUUAUCUUCAAAUAGGGGAAGAAAGACGCGUGCCUUCGCCACCUUCUUCAACAAAAAUCAUGUGGCCCUUCUACAUGCCUCCAAAGUCCAAAUUGCUCAAAACAGAGAUAACCCUAAUGCGGUUGAGAUUUUAAUUCUAGCUUUUAGUGAUAAGGAAUAGCCAAUUGGACUCAUUUUCAUCUAUCUCCAAUAUAACAAAAAAAGGAGAAAAAGAAAAGGAAUGAUUUCUUACUACCUAACAUUUUAUUUUAAUUUUUUCUCACAAAGUUUAUAAUACAUGUUCAUCCUUGAAGGACAAUCAAUUGGACAAUGGAAUAAUGGUCGCAUAUCCAUGCUAGUCAAGAGAACCAAUAAAGAACAGCACACGAUGAUCAAAGGACACAAACGGUAGGCUAAGUUCUCCGGCCCCCUGCAAAAACAAAUGUGGUAAUCAUUAUCGAACAUGGGUGCCACCCCACCAUGGUUGAAAACAAAAGCUCCAAAUCCAACCACUCCUAAGUCCUAAACUCUCUCUUAUAAAUACUCCUGAAUUUACACCAAAAAGCUCCCCCAACUACAUUCCUCAACUACUAAAAACUUUAGAAUUACUUUUUCCUCCCCGGAUGAGGCCGUACCAUGGCUCCAUUGUCAUCUUUCUCCUCCUCCACAUUGCAAUCACAGGUGCUGCUGUCAAAAAUGGAAACAGCUAUGCAAGAUUUGUGAACCAAUUCUUGGCAACCCAAAAUGCUGCCCGAGCUGCCCUGCGCAUGAGACCGCUGGUGUGGGAUGCAAACUUGGCUAGGUAUGCACAAUGGUAUGCAAACCAAAGGAGAUUUGACUGCGCUUUGAGGCACUCUGAUGGACCCUAUGGCGAGAACAUCUUCUGGGGCAGCGGCACCGGGUGGUCACCGGCUCAGGCGGCUGCGGCGUGGGUGGUGGAGAAGAAAUGGUACAACUACUGGUCUAACUCAUGUGCCUUGGGACAGGAAUGCGGGCAUUAUACACAAAUUGUGUGGAGACAGACUACAAGGAUUGGAUGUGCUAGAGUGACUUGUUUUGGUGGCAGGGGAGUCUUCAUGACUUGCAAUUAUAAUCCUCCAGGAAAUUAUAUUGGAGAGAGACCUUAUUGAAUAUGCAUUUUUUUUCUAACAUAUUUGCCUUUUGGGCUUCAUGUGUAUAUCAAUUGCCGUAUUUCUCAUUAUUAUCAAACCCAUGCGAUUGAUGUAAAACAUGUUUUUUUUUUUUUGGCAGUGAGAGAGAUACUGCUGAAUUGUGUUAUCUAAGGCUUCCAAAUAAAAGUAUAGGGAUUACUUAAUAUAGAGGAGCCUUGGAAUAUUUUAGGUUUUGAAACUCUUUUCUUUAACUUCAACUCCAGUGUGAACAUAUGAUAUGUGUCAUGUGUCACCAGGUCCUGUUCAUCCUUAAAGUCAAUACAUUUCUGAUUUCUCACUUCCCAAGUUUUGUGUAUUGCAAAAUUUGCAUGAUAUCUUGGCGAAAGCUAGCUAGAUAAAACUCAUGAUAAUACUUAGCUACACGUUCGCAAAGGAUGGAAAUUUUGCUUCACUUUCCAGAACCUAGUCAGUUUCUAAUAAAGUUUUCCCUGUGUAAACACAGAUUAAACUAAGUAUUAGAAGUUUUGAAACCUUUGUGUUUCAGUAUCAAGAAGAGAGGGAGGAGAGAAAACGAAUUCAUUGCCUCAUCAGGCAGAUUAGUUAAUCUCGACAUCAUGUAUGUAAUGCAUGCCCUGAUAAUGAUAGUCAAGUAAUUGGUAGAAAUUGAUGAAGGUGUUAAUCUCGCUGUGGCAUUGAGCAUUAGACCAGACCAGACAAAGAUGCCCUGAAACCUUUCUGCAAAUUUUAAUGUGAAAGUUGGUAAGUAAUUUAUGAACUUUGCUAUUCAAGAAAGAGUUCAUCCAAUUUUAUUUUACACUUCACUGUCAUUUGGUUAAAUGUGAAUGCACGCGCGUGUGUGGUUUUUUUUUAACCCUUCCACAUCUUCUCACAUCCUUUUUAUCUCAAAUUAUCAGACACACGAUUCGAACCCAGAACUUGUUAGUGAGAAGAACUUUAAGAUCCCUAACCAUUGGCCAACUCCAGUGGUUAAGUUUGAUUAAUUGUUUAGUAACAUUUUUCCAUUUUUUCCUUUUGAGGUGGGGGUGGGGGUGGGGGUUGUGGCUCAAGGGAAGGUUCAAUUAUAUAGAGCUGGCGAUGUUGAAAUUGGGGGGCCUUUAGCAGCAUGCUUUUUAAAAGCUGAAUCAAGUGUAACAGCUGGUUGGAUGAUUUUUUCCUAUUUAAAAUCUGAUUGCAAUUCUAAAGUCAGAGCAAAUUUCUGUAACUACCGAGAUCCCCUUGUAAAGUUUCUUCAAUCUACGUAAAUAAAUCACAGAAUUCAUUCAUGCAUUAAGAAGGAUUUUUUUGUCAUAUGUCUUUUUCUUUUUCUUAUUGACACACUGUAAUCUGUCUAUAUUGAAAAAAAAGAGGUAAAACUAAUGUAGCAGCAAUGCUCAUAUAUACAUAACAACACAACACUGCAUUCAUAGGUACAUUGAUAAACAUAUGCGUGGUUGCGUUCACAUUGAUAAAAAAAAAAUGCACUUUGGUUUGUUUGUUUCAGCUUAAUAUAAAUCUGGAAAUUAAUUUGAGAAGAUAUGGCAUUCAUGAAGUCCAUUUCAUGAAGUCCUCAAUGGAGAAACUUGUGGGAUGAAGUUCAUAGAGUCCAUCUACACUUGCAUAUAUAGAAUUGAACCUGUUGCCACUUGUUGAGUUUAUUUGAUUUGAUCGUGGGUAGUGAGGAAGUUCAAAGAGCAAUAUGAGCUACUGAAAUUGGGCCAGUGGCGAAUGGAGCGUCUGUUGAAGCCUGUAAACUUCUAGUAACCCACUAGGGACGAGCCUCCGUUUUAUGGCUCAACUGGUAAGGACUUGAUCCUUACCACUCGAGUUUGAGUCCCACAAUAAGUCGCCUAAUGCUCGGUGUCAUGCUUAAGAGUGCAAUUUAAUCAAACAACUCGAUUCGGACUCGUAAGCAGUUCGGUUGGAAGGCUAGACUUGAACUUGACGUUGAUUGAUUUUGAUUCGAGGUCGAGUUACGCAAUAAGGUAAUCGAGUCAAGUAUAAGUAAAAAAAAUAUAUAUAUAUCAAAAUUGAAGUAUUUUUACUCGAAUAGUGCACUACAUGAAUUCAACCUGAUAAUGACGGUAACCCAAUUUUUAAUGUUCGGUGUCAUGUCUGAGGGUGUAAUAUAAUCAAACAACUCGAUUCAAACUCCUAAGCAGGUAAUAUAAUCAAACAACUCAAUUUGAAAUCCAAAGCAGAUUGGUUAAAUGAUAACUUAAAUUUGGCGUUGAACGAGUUCAAAUCAAUGUCGAACCACUCGAUAAGGUAUUCGAGUCAAGUACAAAUAGAAAAAAUUAAAAUUCGAGCAUUUGUCAAGCCUUUAUCGAAUAGUGAAUUUAUAAUACAAUUAUUUAUUAUAAAAUUACAUUUAUAGGUAAGAGAGUUAUAAAAUUUGCCAAAACACUAAAGUUUGAGAAAUCGAUUGAGCUUGAUUUGUUCAAGUUCAAGUAAGGUAAAAUAAGCUUGAAUUCGAGCUUGAUUUCGAUCUCAACUUUUAAGAAUUUUGCACAAGUUCAAAUAUUUUUACUUGAACAGUGCAGUACUUGAAUUCAAAUUGAUCUUGUGCACGGGGAGCUCUAAGAGGUUCUCCUGACUAUUGGAGCAACGCUCAAUGAUUUUUUUUAGCGCAAUAGAAUACAGAGGAUUGGCAGAAUGCUAGCACUAAGAAUUCCUUUGAUACCAGUCAAAUCAAGUGAAGAUUAGAUGUUCUUCUGCGGAGGAAAAGGGAACCAGUCCAUAAUCCACAAGUGAUCCCGUGAAGAAAAAUGUCAACCUCAACAUUUCAUCAGCACCUCCUCCGAAGAUAAGAAGCAGCAGGAAAAUCCUGAGCUUGUGAACCAGCAUAAAACAAAAACAAGAAGGAUUUCGAUUGUAUUAUAGAUUCUUGGAAAUCCAAGUAAAAGUUGAUGAAUGCCACGCGGCAUGUUCUAGAAUGGUUCAUGGCAUUCCGUGCUGUUCCAUAGAUGAUAGAACUACAAAUGGAGAAGCCAGUUCACGGGUGCAACAUGGACAACCUGCCCUUCCACCCUUUCUCACGAGUGACGAAACCUUCGAAUUAUUGGCUUAUGCUGGGACAAAAAGCCAUCCCUAUAUUCUAUGAUCGUAAUUCUCUAACGCCUUCCAAUUCACACACUCAUUGGCUCCAACGCCCCACAUAACAUGCAGUUUGUUUUUGCAGGCCUAUCCUUAAUUUGCUCGUGUCAUGUGUCCUACAAAUUUCAAGAAAUUGUUCAAUCAAUUUGUGGUGUGUGGUCUACAUUUUCUUUUUUCAAUUCAAGAUUUGUCUCUUUGCUCCACUCGUACUGUUAAUUAGUCUCUUCACAUGUCAAAAACUCUUGCCAAACGCUUAUAAAUGAGUGCUGCUGCAGUCUCAAGUCAAGUUAUCUAAGGUCCUCUAUGCACUUUCUUGAGUCCUGCUCUAAUUAUUCUGUGCUCAAGCCUCAAGUUCCAUUCCAUACUGACGAAAUGAAUCCAAAAUUUCAUCCUCCAUUGUUCAUUCUUCUCACAACUCUGCUUUGCAACGUCCUCUCAGCAUCCUCAGAAGCCUCCCUCCCACCUCAAGCAACCAGGGAAAGGCCAGCGGACAACGAAACAAUCUACAAAAUCUCCAAGAAACUGUGCUGGAACUGCCUAGCAGAAUCCAUAGAGUUCCUGUUUUCUCACAACUUAGUCAGAGCUGCAAAGUGGGAGCUGCCUCUCAUAUGGGAUUCUCAGCUACAACAAUAUGCAAAUUCGUGGGCGGGACAAAGGCAAGCGGAUUGUGCGCUAAAGCAUUCAUUCCCAGAAGGCGAUUUCAAGUUAGGAGAGAAUAUAUUCUGGGGAAGCGGCUCAACAUGGACUCCAACUGAUGCAGUCAAAGCUUGGGCUGAUGAAGAGAAGUAUUACAAUUACCAGGCUAAUUCAUGUGCCGACGGACAGAUGUGUGGGCAUUAUACUCAGAUUGUGUGGAAAAACACAAGGAGAAUUGGAUGUGCUCGAGCUAUUUGUGAAAGUGGGGAUCUGUUUAUGACUUGCAACUAUUAUCCACCCGGAAAUUAUAUUGGUGAGCGGCCAUAUUAAGUGACAUUUCUUUGAAUGUUGCUCGGUCUAGUUCCAUUAAAAUGUAAAGCUAUGCAACUUAUAUGGGUUAAAUUAGUACUAGGUAUUAAGAUGAAAAAAUAAAUGCUAAACUACAUUUCGAAUUAGUGGUGUCCAAAAGCCAAAAAAAAAAAAAAUAAUAAAUCAGCAUCGACAUAGUUCAUUUUUAGUAUAAUAUAUAGUUAUAUAACAUUAAUGUAUGGAGUUAAAGAGUUUUUUUUUCUCUUUUUUAAUGCUAUUUCAUAUUCUUGUACUUUAACUCGUACAUUAUACUGAAAAGUAUUUUAGGUGAUCAGUAUAAGUACAUUGAUUUGUUACUAUGAUUGUGGAUUUAAAUCCAUUCCUUGAGAUUAAUUCAUAAUUGAAUCAUGAAUGAGAUCAAACUAAACUCAGCUAAACUAAGCAAUUAAGAGCUGAAUUAGUUCAUCUCGAAAAAUUUACCAUCCCGAAUUCUGAUACACCAACAAGCCCGCCUUUCUUUUUCAAAAGCAAAUUAGGAAAACUGGGAGUUGUGCUUAAAUACUCAUUAUCGUUGAUUAGGCACCCUGUAUAACAGGAUCCACAAAUAUUUAUGUAUGUUUACUAUAUCUUUUAAAGACAAAUUAUAAAUGCAACAUAGAAAAACUGAACCUUUGCUCAGAUAGUUCGUCAAGAAAAAAAAAGAAAAAAUAAUUAAGUGUGGCUGGUAAGGAUUUAUCUUAAAAGAAUUAACAAAAUAGUUAAUUAAGAUUUUGUUGAGGCAGGAAGGAUGCUAGCAAUUUCUCUGGAAGUUAGAGCAGCCUAUCGUCCAUUAUUCAGGUCAAUAUUGUCAAGUGCUGAUGCACCUGUCUUCAGGUGGUGUAUCAUAAAUGUGGUGAGUUGGUUGGGAAUAGUUGUAUGUAAUACCCGCAGUCAAGAUCACAUAGUGUCUGGCAAGUGGCAACUAAGAUCAGAAAAAAUUUUCCUACAAUUGGAUCACAAAGAUUUAUUUCCAAAAAUUUAUCUUUUUUUUUCAACCAAUUGAUUGUAAUUUGUUGGAAUUCCGAGUAUGUCUUUUAGAUUGCAACAAAAUCUUGAGGGGUUUAUCCCUGUGAGCAUGACAGAAAGUUUCUGAGAAUGAAUCUUGGAGGACAACAUUCUUGCCUUGGAACAACUGAAAGGGGGAAAGUUUCUCUAGUCUCGGACACGCAUGCUCUCUCUCCAUUUCUUGAAAUGCAACUUCCGAUUGACUUUGAAUAUUUGAUCUAAAAUUUGGAAAUCUGUAUUUCAGUCAGCUAACAAGUGAAACUGAUGCUUGGAACUUGUUGGAUUCGGACUCCUACGUGUUCUUCUGGUAAAAAAUUCAUUGGAAGUCUAUCCUUCUUGUUCCUCAUCUCUCUGUCUUCUUUUAACUAUGCUCGAAAAUUUCUGGAAAUAUGGCAAUUAAUCGGUCGUAAAAGAUGUUUUUCCACUGUUUCCAACCGCCCCAAAAUAUAAGAUCCAUGAAUGGCAAAAGCAUCAAGUUCCCAAGUCAAAUACUACUAUAUGAAAAAAAAUAAAAAAAACUACUCCUCAGUCACUAUCAAAUAAACUACUUUACAAGUCUAGUAAUUAAUUUUCAAGAUCAAUCAGAAUAUUUCAAAUAAGAUUGUAGAGUCCGUCUAUUGUACAUCAAAUACAACUUAAAUAAUAUCAUGCAUUUCUUUUAUUUAUCCAAAAAAUGUUAACUACCGGCCAAGGAAUUGUUUCGGACAAUGAUAAAAUCUUUUCCUCAUGACACUGCUAAUACUACUACUAUCUCUUGCUUUCCUCUGCUUAUGCAACCGUAACUCCCGCGCCUCCUCAGUUCUUUGGGACCUUUCCAGACAGAGCUGCCAAUUUUACUGCAAUUUCUUAAACCCCUUUUGCUCUCUGCUAGUUAAAUUUAACUACGCCAUAUCGCGAUUCUUUUUGCUUUACUAUUUCCUCCUAGUCCCAACUCGCAAGCCUCUACCCCUCAUUUGUCUAUAGUCUAAUGAUUCUCACUUUCCCAACCAUUCACGCAUGAUCACCGUAGCAAAACUACCCCUUCACCCCCCAAGCCAAAUCUCAAGAACCCUUUGCACCCCAAGAUUUUCUGUCAAAGCUGUGCUGAGUUUCAACUUGGGAAUUAGAUCAACAAAACCCAGAAAAAAAGGAGGCUUCCUUAGGCUGAUUUGGGCAGAUUAUGAGAGUGGUACUUCGGGUGGGAUGGAACUCUUGAGGAAAUUAACAAGAGGUUGCUUUCCUGAUAGUCCAAAGAAGGGACAGAAGGUGGAAGUUGAAUCAGAUAAUGGUGGCGAGGAUUUUUUUGAUGCUGCAACUGCUGAAUCCAAGGUGCGGCCUCAACACCUUGUCAUAAUGGUCAAUGGCCUUGCUGGAAGGUAAAAUAGCUUAACUGUGUAUUUGUGUGUUUAUCUCUGCAUUUUUAUGCGAUUUUGGUAUUGUGGUAAUCUUCUAGAAAAAAUGGGGUUUUUUUGUUUGGUUAUAUCAAAGUUAAAAGAUAGAAAUUUUGGGUGGUUAUGUACGGAAAGGUGAGAUGAGGGAGUAUUAGUUGCUAAUUGCGUGCAGUAGCGGUAAUAGGUAAAAGGUUACGGUUUUGAACUCAUUUUUGGAAUUGGUUAAGAUAAAUGUGGUAGAUCAGAUAAUAGUUCCUCAGUGAAUAAUUGUUGUUGGAGGAAAAUUUAGUUAAGCAAUGUAGCGGAUUCUCCUUGAUGUAAUAAUCAUAUAGCUAUUUUCAUGACGUGAAAGCGCUAAAAGUACAGCUGAGUGAAAGAUAUAGCGAGGGCUUUCCGUUGGGUAUCUGUUAUAUCCAGCAAAAAGAUAAUUAGUUGCAAAAGUUCUCCGAUGGAUGACCAAACUGUGCUAGUUUAGCUUUUGGAACUCUGUGCUUAUUAGUUGUGUAUCGUUCGUGUUAUAGACUAGUGUUGAACUUAGUUUUGCAAUAAUAAGGAUGACUAGAACCGCCAAGGAUUCCUGGUAUCAGAUAAUUGUCCAAAAACCACAAUUUGAUCCACUGGAAAUAUUCUCAAUGCACGUGCUAAAGACUUCACAAGGUACAAUCCAGAAAAUUGGAGUUAGUAACAUGGUAUUGCAUGGGAAAGGAGUCUAAUCUAAUAGAUCAGAGGUUGGAGUUCUUUGCCAAAUGGCAUAUCCAAAUGACUGCUUUGUAAGUUGCAAAUAUGUAGAACAAGAAUAUGCACCUUGCUUAGCUAUGUGACAAGUCAUGUGUACUCAAUUUCUAUAAAUCCACUCAAAUCUGCCCAUGUCACAUUUUACUUCUUUCCCCAACCGAAUUAGAACCAUUCUUUGCACAAUACACCCACCCAAGAACCACUUUAUUUCCUAUAUGUUACCUCUCUCUCUCUAUUAAAUGUUGGACAUUUGCUAGAUGCUUCUAGUUUAGUACCUGAAGGGUGUAAGUGGUACAAAGUGCUUGUGAUAAUAUCUUGUACAGGGGCCUUGGUCUUUUUCACCUCAAGUGUAGAAGUGCUUGUUACCAGAUUUAAUUUUCUUGUGCAUAGCGUUCCUGUGCUCAUCUCAAAUUGUGAUCUUUGUGUAAGUUUAGUAAUGGGAAAAGGUUACCUUAUUUUGAUUUCAGACCUCUAAGAAGCUGUGAGAUGAUCGUCUUAGUGUUUUCAAUUUUUUAUGCUGAGAUUAUGUGACAGAUGUUACAGACUUAAGAUAGUGGUUUUGGCAAGAGUAGAAUUAGGAAAAUUUUAUAUUAAAGUGCAAGGUUAGGAGUUUUUUGAGUUGUUUACAAGAAAAAUAGUACCACGUAACAACAAAUGCCAUCUUCCAUUUAGAGUGUAUAGUUUUUUUUUUAUUUCUCAGUCUAUUUUUGGCAAAUGGUGUAUUACUCGAAGAUAGUACUGCAGAUCUACAGAGGGCUUGGCAAACAUCUAAUAUGUACCUUUAUCGCAUUAUCUAUAGUUGUCUCUUUUCUGCUAGUUAAUACUAUUUGUACCUUUAUAGAAAAAAAUUGUGUAGUUCUUAUGUAAAUCCUGGAAACUACUUCCGAUUGCUAUAGGCAUUGGUUUAAAACCUAUAUUCCUCUGCAUUUUAGAUACAAAAUCUGCAAACUUUUUAUUGGUUUUGAAAAAUAUUUGCUAGUUAAAUGAACUAUUAUACAUCUGAGAUCUUCAAUGUUACAAUGAAAAUAUGUCAAUUUAGUAUUACUACCCAAUGACAUAUGCCACUAUGAGCUUUUUGGACGUGUACCAAGCUUGCUUCUUCUUCUUGAUAUUCAUGAACAAAUGUUUCUCUACACUGGUCUCUCUCUGCCAUUAUCCUGUAGACACUUUGUUUCCGUAAACACUCAUGUACAGGCAUGGUACUUUUACGUCAAUUUGUAACUCUUGCACCAACUCUUUCACAAGUACUCCUGCUCUGUUCUCAGUGCUGCAGAUUGGAGAUAUGCUGCUGAACAGUUUGUGAAAAGAGUUCCUGACAAAAUUAUUGUUCAUCGUAAGUUAAGCUUUUUCAAAAAUGAAAAAGGUUUAUUUUUUCUAUUUUUGAAUAAAUUCUUCAUGUUAUAAUAUCCUUGCUUAAACAGGUUUCAGAAGAUUUUGCGCUUUGUUUGAUGUUGCAAUUGGUUUUGAAAUGCUUAAAGUUGUUUCUGAACUUGGUUGAUUGGUUAUCCCACCCCCCCCUUUCCUUUGGUGAUAAUAAUAGUUGAUAUGUUAUUUUUUACUUGAGACGCAGAGAUUGGAGUUUUGGGGUUUACAUAAUAUACAGAUUGUGUUUCUAUUUGCUUUAGCCAAUAUCGUGUUUAGUAGUUAUCUAGUUCUCUUGUUGGUUUUGCUGAUAACAGAUGCUUUUCUUCUGUAAGGUCUUAAAAUUUUGUUUGACACUCAAUUUUCUUUAGGAAAAGUUUUGUUGUUCUCUUUCUUUUUCAUUCUGAGAAUUAUUGGAAUGUGUAGUGAUGUUUUUUCCGUUAGCUUUCCAUUUCAAGUUAUACUUAACUUUCUUUAGGAAAAGGUUAAUUAUUCUUUUUCUUUUGCAGUUUUUUCUGGAAUGUGCAUUGAUAUUUCUAUCUUCAUGGAAGAUGAUUAAAUUAUAGAGAAAUGUGAUUAUAUUGUAGCUUGAUGUAUACCAGGUAGUGAAUGCAAUACUUCAAAGCUGACUUUUGAUGGUGUUGAUUUGAUGGGGGAGAGAUUAGCUGAAGAGGUAUUUUGCUAAUUAGCAUUUAUCAUGCUUCCAUUUUUGUUGUAUUUCUGGUUACUGGAACUUAGUUUAGUAGAAAAAAGCUAUACUUUGACACCAUAAUAUCUAGAGACUGAUACACUUCUGUCCUUUAUAGUGCAGGUGGUCAAUGUUGUAAAAAAUUGGCCUGGCUUACACAAGAUCUCUUUUGUUGCCCACUCAUUGGGUGGCCUUAUUGCUAGAUAUGCCAUUGGAAGAUUAUUUGAACUUUCUGCUAGGAUUGGAAAUGCUGACCAAAAUGAGCCCUCUUCAGUAUUGGAAGCAAAUAAUUCUGCAAAACUCCAUGAACUAUGUUAUGAAGCAAGGAUUGCUGGACUGGAGCCUGUAAAUUUUAUAACAUUUGCAACUCCGCAUUUGGGUUCCAGAGGACAUAAGCAGGUUUCUUCUGUUUUGAUAUUGUUUCCUGUUGCAAGUAAAUUAACUUCCUUUUGUAGUAUGUUAUUGUGUAUAGCUGCUUUUCUUCUGUGGUUUUGUAUCAAUAUUCACCUAUUAGAAUUGAUGAGAAUGAAUAUGGCUCUUGGUCUCCUGAUAUGAUAAAAUCGCAAACAGGUUUGAGAUUAUGCGUAUCAAAUCAAAUUGUGGAUCUUAAAAUGAGGGUUCAAUUUACAUCCUGGUGGUAUCUGCAAAAUUUGCACGCUAGCACUUCCUCAAAGACUUUAUCAUUCAGACUGACUCAGAGUCCAUAUAUGUGCCUUAAAAACAAAUCUAAUGUGUUGCACUGUUGAAGCCUUUUCUUUGAUAUUUUUUUGUCUCUCUGCUUCAUCAGCUCCCACUACUUUGCGGUCUUCCUUUCUUAGAGAGAAGUGCAUCUCAAACUGCACACUGGAUUGCAGGGAGAUCUGGUAAGCAUUUGUUCCUAACUGAUAACGACAAUGGAAAGCCUCCUCUCCUCCUUCGGAUGGUUGAAGACUCGGAUGACCUCAAAUUCAUGUUUGUACUAAACUUCCAUAACCUGAUUCUUGAUAAGCAAUAGUGAAGGAAAAAAGAAGAUUAUCAUCAUGAUUUGAAUAACAUCAUUUAUGACUUAUACAGGUCAGCUUUGCAAGCUUUCAAGCGUCGUGUGGCAUACGCAAAUGCAAACUAUGAUCGUAUCCUUUGUUGGAUUAAUCCACACUUUGCAAGUCAGAUUUUUCCUUUUUAUACACAGAAGUUCCUUUUUAUACACACUUUGCGUCUUGUGGUCUACCUUUACUGAUCUUAAGAUAUUGUUGGCUGGAGAACAUCAUCAAUCAGACGCCAGGAUGAACUUCCAAAGGUGCUUCGCUGUCUCUUAAAUUGAUUUAUGUCUGUCGUACAUUUCAACUUCCAUCAACUGACUGAACUCUCUUUCUAUCUAGGCUAAACUUCUUCUGAAAAAUGAGAAGUACCCUCACAUUGUUCACGUUGAUCAAGGAAGCAUGGAAGCCAAUAAUAGCAGAUCAUUGUCCAUGGUCGGAACAGAAGUAAUUGAUUUGGAAGGUGCUUUGGCUUUCCUGUGACUGUACAUUGUUUUGCCAUUUUUACUCAUCCUUGAUGUCCACUUGUGCCAAUAUUCAAGUUCUCUUAUGUCACAGUUAUGAAGAAAGACAAAGUUUCCCAUGUUUUUGCUUUUGAGUGUAUACGCUCAAGGAUAGUUGCACAAGAAGAUCUGUAAUAUUGAAAUUUCAACUUUCUUCAAGCCUAAAAUGCAUUGCUGAUUCAACUAUGGGAUAGGUGGGAAUGAUCAAUAAAUUUGUUUCUCUUAGGAUACACUGGACAAUGUUUCUCUUACUGGAUUAAUAAACUUGUUCAUGUGGAGUAGUGAAAGAUUCCAAAUAUGUUCCUUGGGGUUCUUAUGAUAGAGGAGAGGAAAAGAGGGAGGAGCAAUGGGGUGGGAGCAAGAGUCCUACCAUCCUUGUUUGUUCAAAGAGGUGGGGAAGCAUGAAAAGUCUCAGAUUCUUAUGAUAGAGAACAACGGAAAAGAGGGAGGAGAGAUUGGAUAGGAACAAGGUAAUUUUAGAUGGGGAAGUGUGGAAAAGAGGGCGGUCAGAUUGAUAUGGUGAUGGUUUUUUUUCCCAUCCAUUGUUUUCAUUUUCCUUCCAUUUUUUCCCCCUUUUUUUUCAUUUUUUUUUCUUCAAAGAGCUAAGAGCUACAGGUGUUUGGUGUCACUUGGCUUCUUGAAAAUAAGCAUCCUUGUUUUGUGAAAGUUUUUAUUAAUGAGUAUAAACAUUGUUUGAAUACUAAAUAAUUAAUGGGAGAGGAUCACUUUGGUUGUAAGAUCAAUCUUCUAUCUUAUUAUCUUGGUCCUUUGAUGUCACCAGAAAUUAGAACACAAUUACAAUAAUUUAGGUUGGUAUGAUCAAAUAGAAUAUCUCAUUUAAGAGCAAUGAGUUAUAAAAUAUUUCCCAUCUUCUAGUAGAAGAAUUUGGUCAUAUUCCUUCUGUCUGCGUUAAUGGUGAUAUCAUAAAUACUUACUGAAGAAAUCCAUAUUCUGGAAACUUUCAUGUGCACCAUUCUUGUAGAAGGUAGAGUUCUGACAUUCUGUCUCUCACAGAAGCAAAGAACGAUGGCAUGAAUUUUUUGGUUUUGUCAAUUGUCGGGCAUAGACAGUGUUCUUUUCUAAAUAUGGCUAUGUUUUCUGUCACUUGCUGAGAUUUAUAAUGUAUCUUUAGGCUUAAAAGUAAAUUUGAAUUACUGAACCAUCUCUGUGGCCCCUUCUUUGUGAUGCUCUUGCAGCACUAUAAGUAGCAGUUUCUUAAAAAUAUAAAAGCAGAUAUACAUGUUACUUUUAAUGCUGUUCUCUAAUGAUGAUGUUGCAGGAAUAGUCACACAAGUUCAAAUCAAUACUAUAUGCAAACGGACUUUUGCUUCCCCUCCCCCUUUUGUCUGUAUAUAAUGGGUCAGUCCAUUGUGAUAAAUGUUGUAAAGUAAAUAGUAGAUCAUAUUGCUAAGAUGAUGUUGAAGAAAAUAAAACAUAAUCAUCCAAAUACAUGCUUGGUUUAGUUUUUUUCCCCACAACAAAUGACAGAUUGCUAACAUACUUUAGAUCGAACUAUAUUUAGUGUCUUUUUUGGGGUUGUGAAGAAAGAUUCUUGCUUGUGGAUUAAAUGUAUAUAAUAAUUAGUCAUAGUAGUGAGAAUGUUAUGCAUUAGAUGCUACUUAGCUUUUGGACAAGAAGUUUCUUUUUUAUUGUCGGUCCACCUUUAGUCUGACUAGCAGUUAAAGCUAAAGGAUUGGCAAUAAAGAUUGUCACCCUUUGUGUAUAUGUAUGCAUAAUAGUAUGUACAUUGUACAUAUAUAUAUGUUUUUAACAAGGCAUACACGUGCUUCCUUGUCUGCUUGUUAUCUGUUUCAUAUAUUUUAAGACAAAAAAUUUCAAUUCUGGAUCUGAUGCAAGCCUGCAUUUUGUGCACGCAGAGGAGAUGAUUAGAGGCCUCACUCAAGUACCUUGGGAACGUAUUGAUGUUAGCUUUCAGAAAAGCACACAGCGAUAUGUUGCACACAAUACCAUUCAGGCAAGCUUUUAAACUUGAUUGUUAUGGUAGUGGUAGUUAUGAUUGCCUUUUGUCAUAAGCUAGGAACAUUUGAUGUGGAUAAAGCACUAUAGCUUUUAAAAAUCAGAGGCUUGUAGAAGUAAAUAUGCAAUUAUCGCACUCAGAGUUUUACUAAAUCAUCAUCAUGUUAUCCUGUUCUUGGAGUUGUACUUACAGAAAUAUUCCAAUAAUUGAUAUCAACCUAACUUGGACAUGGAAGUGUUGUAUACUGUCAACAAGAAUCACUUGAAUAAUUUAGGAAUGACAAAGCAUAAAAAAACACGUUGCUGUCUAUCAAUGACAAGGUGAAACAGUCUGUUGCCAUAGGACUCUGAUAUAGUAUGACUGUUUUCCAUAUCAUUUGGGGAUUAGCAUGCCCGAUAACUUUUUAGAGUAAAAGCAUGAGAAUGCGUCUACAGGCCUAUGGCAUAGGCUGUUUGUCAAGAUCACUUAGUUGUUUCUUCUGGCUAAUGACUUGAGCUGGAUUUGGCUCAGUAGUUUCUUGCGCUUAUAUCUUGGAAUGGUUCAAAUUUGGGUCACUCGAAUAUGUAGUUCGUUUUAAGCCCAAUGCAUUUCUUGCUUCUUUCUUCCAGCUAUUGAGUAAAAACUUCUAAAAGGAUGAAAGCUGUAAGUCAGAGGCAAAAGUUAGAUUUGGUUUGUUAUAUAGGUAAGGUUUGUAUUAUUUCCAGGAGGUGUUGGCUGACAAUUGAUGCUGGCAUGUGUUUUUUUUUCUCUUUCUUGGCUUUGAUCAAAUGACAUUUUUACCACUCUAAUGCAGGUCAACCGGUAUUGGUUGAACUCGGAUGGGGCUGAUGUGGUUCAGCAUAUGAUAGAUAACUUCAUUGUCUAAACAAUUGACUCCUGGAUACUUCUUUUCCGUGUACAUUGAAGCCUUGCAAGUGUUUAUUCAAGUGAUGGGUUAGGUUGCUUAUCUCUGUUCGAUCGGCCGCAUUUUUACAUGCCCUCAGUCUGUUUUGUACAUAUUGUCUUGGACUGUGAAAUGUGGUUAAUUAGCAUCUCGGUCGUACAUUCGAUGCUCAGUCCUGGCUGCUGUUCGUGAACAAUUUUGCAUCUUCUCAUUACGGCCUAAGUUGCAGCUGAAAUAGAAGAUCUUCGCCUGGAGCCUUAAGGUUCUAGACAGAAGGGUAGAGAGUGGAGAGUUACUUUUCACUAGAUAUACAUGUGGUUAGCAGGCUGGGAAGCAUACAACUAGUCCCUUGUCCAGCUAGAUAGAAGAGAAGGGAGAAAAAAUGCAUGACGCCACAAGAAAAUUUUAAUUACAGAACUAUUGAAUUAGCGGCUGAGCAUCUUUGGAUGGUCAUUUUCGCUGCUAAAAGGAUGUGUGGACAAUUAUUUCCUCCAUCCGCCACAAGAACUAUUGCAAUUAGCAGCCGAGCAUCUUCGGAUGAUCAUUUUCGCUGCUAAAAAGGAUGUGUGGAAAAUUAUUUCCUCUAUCUCAUAUCUCAUUACUUGUGGUAUUGCAUGAGCGUCCCUGUAUUUAUAUAACCUAAAUAUUGACCUAGUAUGGAAGAGCUUCGUUUUUUACUGCUCUUUGUUUACAGAUGUCUCUUGUUUUCAUCCACUUGGUGGUUGUAGAGCUGCUAAUUGGCGUACUAGGCCACCGGUAAGAUUUGUAAAAGGACUUUGGAAAACCCUUUUCUUUUUUUCUUCUGUAACUAGGAGUUCUGCAUAUUUCUAUGAGCUGCAAACAGAAAGCUCUGCUGGGGCCUUCCAUCGUUUCCUGAUUUGAAGUUGCUAGUCCUACAUCAGUGCUAAGUUUUACAAGAAGUACUAUUUAUUUUCUCUGCAUCCAAAUAAAGGGAUUUGAUUCUGUGUUUAAGCCGUGCGCUUCCAUGGUAACAAGGAAAAGGAAAAAUCAGUUGAUUCUGUGUUUGAAUACCCAUUAUUACAAGUCAAAGUAUUGAACCACCAAAACUUUUUGAAGUCUAUCAUUACGAUAUUUGCACCCAACCUGCUGUUCUACCAGUUUUUGUCUUUCUGAAAGAAGUUUGUUCUCUUUCCGCCGAUAUUAAUAGAUACCUAGAGGGAUUGGCAAAUGAUAUUAGCACUUCAAAAAAAAAUCCUCUUGCACUCCAUUCCUUUUUUAUGCGCCUAAAGGGAGAGGGAUGGAGUGCAAUAAAUUUUUCUAAAAGCGUCAAUAAACAUAUAAAGUUCGACAGUUCUCACACUUGUGCUUGCUACGUUCACUUACCAAAUAUUUUUUUCUUUUAAAUAGGAAUUGAAUUUCACGCUACUUGAUAAAAAAAAAAAAAAUUAUAUGUAGUUUACCUAACAAAUUUUAUUGAUAUUUGUCGAACGAUGAAUCAGGGCUGGCAAUAGCCCUUAAGAUAGCCAAAGCUGCGUGGUUACACCGUCUGCAUCAGUUGAUGGUGCAACGUAUUUCUGAUUGGAGAGGAGAAAAUGGUUUCCGGUUGAGCCCAGCCUGUGGUGUAAGAGGUGUAGGUAAUGAUGCGUCAUUAACAAAUCCAAUUUCGACUAAGAUGCAUUUUAUCGGCUUAAACUAUACCUACGUAUCGUUUUGUACCUCAGAUGUAACUGUAUAAAAAUUGCUCCCUCAUCAAAUAACUCUUAAAUGGUUUGGUUGCAAGUAAUUAUUAUUUUGACCGAAUUCACAAAUGCCGGGCACAAUAUUAAUUGACUAAUGCUGAUUUCUUGAACCAAAUAUAGAAGCAUGGGGAAAAAUAAUUUAUUCUUUCUCCAUUGGCUUCGAUACAUUAGCAACGUCAGAAUCUAUCUGUAUAGAGUUCAGAGUUGAAGGAAGAAGAUGAAAUUGCUUUCUGCAUAAAAUGUCAUGGUAGCCACUUAGGCCUCUCCUUGUUGUUUAGGGAUUUCCUCAACUUCAAACAUUUUCAACCAUGCUGGUGAUUGAAGUUCUGUUUACCAUUUGAAUUAGUUGUGGAUACAGGAUCUUCAGUAAUUGUGUUAAGAGGAUCUUGAGCAGGCACUUGAUACUGAGUCACUUCAGAUGGCAUGUCUAGCUCUUCUGCCAGCAGACUUGAUAAACUUUUGCAGAACUGGUAAAGCAUGAUUAGAUUACUAGAAUAAGUAAUCUAUCUGGUUAUCAAAUGGUUUUAAGUUUAGGUCUCAACAUACACAGGAGCGUAAUACUACUACCUCUUUGUACAAUCCCAGCUCCCCUGUUGAUUUUGAUACUUGUACAACACAAUGUUGAGGGGCCACCUCGAUAACCUAACAUUUGAAAUAACACAAUUUAUGAAAUCCUUAACAUGAUCCCUGUACACGAAGCAUAGCAUGAGAAUUUACCUGGGCUGAGAGGUCAAGACAGGAUCUUGAACAUCUAGUCAUCUUCCGCCGGUGCAUUUUCAUCUGAAAUUAUUUAUAAAGGACUUAUUUUCACUUGAAAUGCAUGAAACAUUCUCUUGAAAGGUCUAGAUUUUACCUUUGAGUGGUUCAUCAUUUCAACUGCCAGAUGCACAUCCUUUGCAGCAGCCUCAAUUUUCUCUAUGGUUUCAUUGACUGUGUGUCUAGAUCCUAUUGUUUUUUUCUCCUUUUCAUUUCCCUAUUAUGCAACAGAAACGUCUGUGACUUUUUCAAUGGAGGGGGAAGCAUUCAUAGGAUGAGCCAGCUUGAGUUUUGACGUGUACUUGCCUUUUCUUCGAAGAGUCUUGACAAAUCUAGGUCAUUUGACAUUGCUAUAAGCUGGAAAGCAUUUAUGAAACUCGAGGCACGGGGGACACUCACUUCUGUCUCAGUUUCCUAUACCAAAAUCAAUUGAUUUAGCAAUGGCUUAUCACUUUCUUGUUCUCAGUGUUGCUAUAUUUGUUUAGCCAUUACCUUGAGUGAAGUGAAUGCUUCAUGAACAUCAUCCACAUUGAUAUCCUCUUCCUGCCCUAUUUCCUCAGCUGGCUCAUAGUCCAUCUGAAACCAGUGAUGGUCAACGAUUUCUGCUAUAGUUAUUCGCUGCAAAUCAAGAAAAGAAUUACCUUUGUUCCUCAUAUUCUUGGCCUAAAUUUUUAUCCUGCUAUUUUGAAACUUACAGUUUUUGAGUUUGGAUCGAGCAAUCUAGAAAUGAGCUGUUUUUCACCUUCUGUGAACCGCUCUGGAAAUGCAAAUUCUGCUUUAUAUAUCUGCACUGCCAGCCAAAGGUAGUUACUCUGUGAAGUUCUACUUGGCCUGUGGUUUCUGUUGCAAAAUUUGGAAGUCAUCAUACCUUUCUGUACAAGUUUGUCAGGUUAGAGUCGUCAAAGGGUAAAUAUCCAGCCCGCAGUUCAAAAAGUAUUACUCCACAGGACCAAACGUCUGCAGCUGCUCCAUCAUAGCCGUUAUCAGUUAAAAGCUGUUCAUCAAAGACAAAGUGUUUGUCACAGUUGGAGGGAACUUUACCUCCAUCCCAUCAGGAAAUUAUUCCCGGCUUUUUCACACAAAUUUUUGACAUCCGUUUUAGGUACACCUUUUAGUUUCAGAUUUUCACCCGAAAGCAAAUUCUUCAACCGGAAAGAAAAAAGUAACACUUGCCUCUGGUGCUACAUAGCUUGGAGAUCCGCAUGCAGUAGAGAGUAGGCUUCCUGGUUUCUGAAGUAGAGGAUCAGCUAACCGUCAGUUAAAUCUUAAAAAGAGCUGGGGCAAAGGAUAAUAUGGAGAGGUCACUUUAGACAAAAGUAUCCUACCUGUUUUAGUGCACUAAGGCCAAAAUCUGACACUUUCACAUUUCCUUUGUUGUCCAGAAGCAAGUUUUCUGGCUGCAAGUAAAGAAUAUGCAAGAUUACAUAUAUCUGCAUUUAGUAUCUUGACUAGAAAUCAGAAAAGGAUGUGAGAAGUAAUCCAUGCUAACCUUUAGAUCUCUGUGAUACACCCCUCUACAGUGGCAAUGAUCUACAGCAUCAAUUAGCUGCUGGAAGUAUUUUCUUGCUUCUCUUUCGCUUAACUUCUUCAAAUAAGACUGAGAUAAGAAAUGGCAUGGACUUUAGUCUUGAAUGACUCGUUUCCAUGGAUAGUAAUUACUGCCACUAGGUAAAAUGUGGUCUUUUUGAAGCUUACCAGCUUAUCAGAAAGCUGUCCCCCUGACACAUACUCCAUAACAAUGUAAAUUUUGGUUUUUGUGCCUAGUACCUGAAAUUAGAGAUCAACUACUGGUAAUGAAUGGAUAAUUGAUUAGCAUCCCAUGAUUGAUUCAAAAGAACAAACCUCGUAAAUUCUAACUAUAUUGGGGUGAUGUAGAAGUUUCAUCGUCCUGAUUUCUCUCGACACCUAGAUGAAAAUUUUAGACUUAGAGAUAAAACAAAAAUGCAAAAUAGAGAAAGCUCAAAAACUGUAAACUAAAGAUAGACAAAUGUAGUUGAUAUGCUGGUAAAAUUACCUGUUGCAUCAAGUUAUUUUUCAAGACCAUUUGCUUGUCAAUGAUUUUGAUUGCUACAUAUUGUCCAUUGGUUGUGUUUAUGGCCAAUUUCACCUUGGCAAAGGAGCCUUCUCCAAUUGUUCUGCUAAGCUGAUACUUGCCAAUCUUGUCGGAGAAUCCCAUGCUUCAUGAGGAGAAAAACCAAUGCCUAUCCCUCAAGAUAUUUAUUUCCAACAAAGGCUGCAGCUUCUUUUCCCUGAACUCCCUGGAAAUGUUUGAUCGUCCCCGUGUGAAGCACCUGCACUUCCAGUCUUUCGAUGUAUUCUGAGAAUGAUUGAUUAAAACCCCGUUCUUGUGGCUCUGGCAGUUUUAAAGAAGAGGGCCACAAUUUUUUAUGUUGAAUAUUUGUUCUUACAAAAAUUUAAUCAAAUUUGAACUCUGUCUCCUUUGUGCAUGACGCAAAGAAGGGUGGAUUGACCUGCAUGCUGGCUGGCUGGUUGGUGAAUGAGAGAGAUGGGAGUUUGAAUGGAAGGUGAAAUGAGUUUGUGAUUCCAAAUGUAUCCUUUUCCUUCAAACUAACCCUCUGGUUGCCGGUGGGAGUAACUUUGUGGGAAACAAGCCUGGUAAACCAAUAAACCAGAAGCAACAUCUGACAAACUUCCAAGCCUAAUGGAUUAGAGACCACAUGCACCAUGUCAACGCAUGAUUGGUUUCUCGUCUGUUAUUUUUUUUCUUUUAAACUUUCAACAGUCAAAUUGAAAGCCCAGAAAUUUCAACCUAAUACUGUAUACUUGUUUUAAUUCUGCCAGUCCUUCAGAGAUUAGAGAAGGUUAGGUGAAAGUACUAAUUUCCUCCGACUCCAAUAACGUUAUUGGCACCGACAGUGCUUUGGGCUGGUGAUCAACAUCAAGAACUCAAGUUUUAGUGGAGUGAAAGGUCAAUAGUUUAACUCUUGCCUCCCAUCAAUUUGCUACUAUAUAUUCUAUAUAUAACUGUCACGUUUAAUGACUUUUUCCGAUGAUGAUUUAACUCGCACUAGUAUAGAUUAGAUUAUAGAUAACGUUAUUGGCAGAUAAUUUGUGAAGAUAACGAGUCUUAGCGAAAUCCGAAGCGGGGGUCCUUGCUGAGUUGAGCAUCUCUCUGGGGCUAGGCCUCUCUACUUCGUUUUCCACAUUAUCCUGUUUUUCGGCUGGGGCAACAUUGAAAAACGUUGCACUUAAAAUCAUCUAGUCAUUCUUGAAAUCCAAGAGCCCAGGACAAAGUUUCUCUGGAUUUGAGGCUUUUACAAUUGUCGUCCCAGUUAUCUGAAACAAUAUGUAAACACUACUAUGGCAAAUAUAAUAAUAUGAAAAACUCGACAAGUUUUGACAUCCCUUGAAAUGUGUAUCACAAAUUCACAAUCUAUCUUAUCUCUACUCAAUUAAAAUCAGUCACUGCUAUUUAUUAGCUGUAGGCUCCAAUAAAAAAAAUGUGAUUGCAGAAAAUCCACAUCCAUUUCCUUUCUGAUGUUGCCAUCCUCUCGAGUCUCGAGUCCCCAUACAGCAAACAAGCUGCUGCGUUUGAAAUUUUUUUUUUCCCCUUCUUCUUUUGGGGUGGUGGUAGAUUGAUGCUGGACGCAGACUCUGCGAAUUAGUAUGCCAUAAAUCCAACUUGUCUUUGCUUCUAGGGACCCCCAAAAAAUAAGAAAAAAAAAAAAGAUUGUAUGGAUGCUCAUGAUCAGCAAAAUUGGAAAUAGCAACUAUUCAACAACUACAACAACAACAAUAUAUACAAUAGCCAUCAAUUAUUUGCUUCCAGUCCUAGUCUUGAAUGUUUGUUGAGUGUCAAAUUCUUAAAUCACAGGAUAAACAUGUAAUAAAGGGCCUUUUUGUUUUUGAUGAUUACCAACUCUUAGUUUGAGAAGUAGUCAAUAUGACCAGAGAACGCUGGUCCUUUUUUGAUACUCUCUAGUAGAGUAGAGAAAUGGGUAGGUCAAUUUUUCACAUUUUUCAUCUUCUUCUUUUUUCUUUUUUCUUUUUUUGGAUAAAAUGAAGUUGGUCUUUCCUAAAGAACCUAAAGUAAAAGAUGUUAAAAAGAGAUAAGAACAUAUAAAACAUUUGACUUGGAUAAACGCAUAUGUUUUUACUAGAACACUUUCAAGUAAACAAUAAUAACUCUAAACACGUAUGUGUUUAGGUAGUGAGUUUGAAUAUUCAGAACUUAAGAAACUAUUACUGAAUUGAAGAGUUGAAUUUAUAAUCGUCCACAUUAUCAAAUCGUCAUGUGGUUUGAUUUUUCUUACCAUUUCCUCGGUUUUGCUUGUUGAAAAUUUCUUUAUAGCCAUCAUAUGUACAUGUGUCAUUGGUAUUUAUCAAAGAAUUAAAUCAAUAAAUAAAUAAACAAAAGGUACAUGAAUGAUCAAACAUUUCUAACAUGAUUACUAGAAUUUUACCCGUGCCUUAACAUGGUCUUUUUUUUAUUUAUUGUGAAUUUAUAUAAAUAUGAAUAAUUUAAAUAUAAAAAUUAACACAGUUCUACAUGUUCAUUCAUAUUAAUUUUAAAAAAUUAAUGUAUUUUAAAUGUUCAAUUGUUUACUAAUUUUUAAAAAUUUGUUUACAUACUUUCACUAUAAUAUGAUAGUAUACAUCAAAUAAUGUAGCCCAUAUCCAAAACUUGGUAGAUAUUCUUUUCUAUAAAUACUCUUUUAGAUAAUUUAAAUUUUUAUAAUGACCAUAAAUCUAAAAUUAUAUAUUUAUACUUAAUUAAGUAGAAAAAGAUCCAUUAAUCCAUUUUUCUUCAUCAAUAAAUAUUCGAUUUUUAAUAAUAUUAGUAAAUCUAUCAGUGUAACAGUUAAUUCUCUUUUUUACACUAAAUUAACUCAAAAUUAAGAAGAGAUAAUGAACAAUUUGAAUACUAAUCAAUGAUAUGGUGGUAAAAGGAAGUAAGUCAUGGGAUAUGUAAGAUUUCAAUAAUUGUGAUUUAAAAAGGUUUUACUAUACUUUUAUGUAAUAAUUUGAUAGAAAGCAGAUAUCAUUAAGACAAGAUUAGUUAUUUUUUAAAGUUAUUUUUAAAUUAAAAAUAAUUUUUAAACAUAUAAUAUAAUCAUUGUAAUAAUUUGAUAGAAAGCAGAUAUCGUUAAGAUAAGAUUAGUUAUUUUUUAAAGUUAUUUUAAAAUUAAAGAUAAUUUUUAACCACAUAAUAUAAUUCAAAUAAUAUUUAAUAUAGGUAAAAUUUAAAUGAUCUAUAACUCAUUAAUUCUCUGAAUUAGACAUUCCUAGGCCUAGGAGUGAGAAACUACAGAUUCCAUCUGAACUUCCAAAGACUUGCAUAAAACUCAGAGAUGGGCUUCUUCCAAAUUGACCGGAAGCAGCCAUCAUCACAACGUGGGACUUGAUAGCUCCACAUCUUGGGCUUCUCAAACGGGAAACAGACUUUCACACACAGUUUUUGUAGGGUGUACAAUUAAUGCACAGACGUCAUAUUGAACACGAUCGAAAAAUUAAAUGGGUCAACUUUUUUUAACCCAAACACGAUUUGCUAAUUUCAGAAAUUAUCUGAAUACAUUUGAAUAAUUUGUUUGCUUAAUUUUCUUUUUUUUUUCCUUCUCACAUUGGUAGUAUGAUGGAUUUUUCUAUAAUGGAGUUUCUAUAAGAAUAUAGAAAGUUGCAGUCCAAUCCUACAUCUCGUGUAUGGUGCUGGUAAUAAUUUUUUGGUUUUCCUUUUUAUACAAAAAAGGUUAUGAACAAAAACAAAACUAUGACACUUCAUAAAUAAAAUAUCUUAUUUUUGCAUAAUAUUCAUGUUUCCAUUUUCAUAAUAUUAAUUUAUAGGCUUGGUUAGUUUUCUUUUUUAUUUACUUUAUACCUCCAAAUUUUAUUUAUUAAAUUAUAAACUUACACAUUAAAUGGGUUAGAUGGGUCAAACAAGUCAACCCCUAUUUGAUCUGAUUUGGACCUAUUUGCUUGGUAGGUUAUUGAGGUCUGACAUGAUUUUGACUCGAAAUCUUGAAGAGUAAAUCUAAACUCUCUAAUUUCAUAAUAGAUUUGAAUCGUAUUUUUUUGGGUGGUGUUAAGAAUUGUCAUCCUUACUCUUAUGAAAACUGAUUGUUUUCUUUUCCAAAUAAAUAUGAAUUAGGACUUGACAAAUAUGCUACUAUCAAUUUUUUCUUUUUAUCUAUUUUGGAGGAAAAAGAAGGCUCACUAUGGAUUAAUACCUUAGGCUUUGGUAACAUUCCCAAUUUUCUGAAAAUUUUUUUCCAGUUAUCCUCUUUUUUUGGCCGAUGAAAAUUUUUAUGAAUUGGAAUUAUGUCGUACUUAAAAAAGUUGGCUAGAAAUAAUGCACUGUUAUUGGGUGUGUAUGAAUUGGCAUUAUUUAUAAGUCAGAGUAUUUACCUGCAUUUUAAAAUUUUUUUAUUAAUUAUUUUUUUUAUUUUACAUGCAUGAGAUCAUAAAAAUGCUCAAUAGUAAUUAUUCUAAAAAUAUUUCAAAUAAUUUCCUAUCCAAACAUUUCUUUCAUCACGUCAAGAAAUAUUUUCUCUUCCCUUCAUACUUGACGUUUGACCGAUCACCGUCACUGCAUUUCUAGUUAAGAUUGCCACGUCAUUCUUAACUCAUUAAUGAUUAUUUUUUCCAAAAACCUCGGACCAGAUAAAGGAAUCAUUAUCAAAUUUGAAUGGAAACUUUUUAACUAUAAAUUGCCAUGGGCACGUCCAAAUACAAUAUCACAGGCUUCUAUGUACCCAUUUGAGUCUCACUCACCUGAAUAACUUGAGUCGUAAAAUGAUUUAAACAGGCUCGUAUCACUCACUAAUUAAUCACAGUUAAACUUAAAUUGCAAUUUUCUAUCAAUAAAUUCUUACAUUUUUCAUUUCGUAAGCAUAUUUAUCUCACAUACAUAAAAUUGUUAUAGUAUAUAUAUUUUAACAAAAUUUCAAAAAAUAACAAUUCAAACGAGACCAUAUCAAAUACUAAUUAGAAACCCCAACCCAAAUAUUAAGGGCAUAUCAGGAAACAAGAAGUGAAGGUAGUGAGACCUCAGGUAAUAGUUGUGGUGGGCUAAAUCAUAUCUAAUGGAGUUUCUUGAAGCUCAAGAAGAAAGCAAAUUUUCUAGCUCAAAGGCAUUGAUUAGGCAAUGGCAUCCUCUGGAGCAAGGCCUUUUAAAGAUCAACGUUGAUGCAGCGUGGACUCCAGAGGAAGCGGGAAUUGGUGUUAUUGUCCGAGGUAAUGAAGGGCAAAUCAUGACAGCCUUCGCGAGAAGAAUCAGUAAAACUAGUCUACUUUUAUAUCUGCUGAAUUUUCUGAAAUUCUUGCUGUCAUUGAGGGUUUGGAAAGGGAUAAGGAAGUUGGAAUUGGUGCCGUGACUUUUGAAGAGUGACUCUAUGGAUAUGACUCAAAAGUUGAAUGGUGAUGAAGUCGGAUUUCUUUAAUUUGGGCAACCUGUUGGAUAAGGCUCGAAUGUUGUACGGGAACUUUCAAUACUGUAAAAUUUCCCAUACGUGUAGGACUGGAAAUAUACCAACUUACUAUAAUCUUUACUUAAUUAAAGCUGUAAUUGAAGAUUGAACGUUCUGUUUUCUUCCAAAAAAAAAAUAAAAAUCUGCCAGCUGCGUGUUUGUCACGUAUGAUAAAAAAUCCCAUCGUGAUAGGAGUAGUAUCCUUAUCUAUAAUCAGGCUUUAUUAGUAUACAUAAUUACCUGAUUUUAUCCUGAUUAGACGCCUAUAUCCCAAUUUAAAUUUCACUUUUUUAAGGAUUUAGUUAUCCGUAGACUAUCCAAAUUCCAAAGAAACGUACGUCACCUUAAAAACACCUCACUCCUUCAAAAAAAAAAAAAGAAAAAAGAAAAAACACCCAACCUAGUUGCUCUCUACCCAUAAAUCUCGUCCUUGCUCUAUUGAACUCUAAGUCUUUCUCCAUUGACAUCCCUGAGUAAGUGAUUUCUCUCUCCAUUACUUUUUUUUUAUUUUUAUUGUACUAGUUUUUUUGGCUGAACUGAUUAGCAAUUUUUAAAUGAAGAGAAGUAAAAAGGAUCUGCAAAUAAUCCCAGAAAUGAUUGAUUUUUAUUCUUUUGAGGACUGUUCAUUUAAGGAAGUCUUUUACAAUUGUUUGAGCUUAUUAGCAAUUUCUAUUCGAAUAGAGGGAAUAAGGGACUGCAUUUAAUGAUAAAAAGAUUAAUCUUUUGUCGUUUUUUGAUCACUGUUGAAUGAGCAUAUGAGGCAGGGGAAGUAGGAAUUUUCUCGGGGUUUUUCAACUCGGUGUAAAGCACUUAUCUUGUCAAUUUGUUGAUGAUAGAAUCGAAAGUUUGGCUUAUCCUGCUUCAUUUGUCAUUGGUUUUUGUUGGAAGGCUUUUAAUGCAUAGGCGGCUAAAAAAGGCUCCAUAUUGCAAUUGAAUUAUAAUUUGCUUAAAUACGUUUGUUCCUUCACAUUCUUAGUUUUUCACUGAUAGGAUGAAGUAAACAGAUUUUUUAGGGGUAUUUUUUAAUCUAUUUUAUCAGAAUUUUAGUGGAAGGAGGCCUUAUUUAUGUCUCGUUACAUUUUUCCCCUUAUUUGUUUUUGUCUUUUCUUGAUUUAAUCAAAGCAGUUUAUUUUAGCGUGUAAAGUUGUUAUUAGAUGGAGUUGCUUUAUGAAUGCAGCCUUUGGAAUAUGAAAUUAAUUUCCUGUUAUUUUUUCUUUUUUGGUGUAUUAUCGUUAUUUAUCUAAUAAAUUGAUGCCUUUUUUAGUUAACUGAUACAGGUUGCAGAGUUUUGCAUGCGAUCAUCACAAUGAAGGCCUGGAAAAUCUUAUCGCUGUGUCUUUGUUUGAGUUUAGUCUUGAACGUUGUGGUAAACAUGAUUUUGCUCUGCCAACAAUUUGUAUAGUGUACAUAUAGUAGGAGCAUAUUGCAGCUUAAUGGUUUUUGUUGGGUUGCACGUCCUUGAUUAUAGUAGUCUGGGAUAUGGUGAGGCUGUAUGUUUAUUCAUCAUCUGAUUGAACACGGAUGCAGAUUGUCGUGGGCCCGCCAACUUGUCCUGCACAUGUUGGUAGUGGGUGUGCUAGUGAUUCAGAUGAAUGGCAAGGAGAAUUCUUUCCAGCCAUUCCUAAGAUUAAAUAUGAGGUAAGAUAGGAAAAUGAAGGUUCUUGAUUGAUGAAAGUUGCAUAGACUUUAAACCAUAUGAAUACGCUGUACUUAGGAGUAGUUUCACAAUACAUCUACACUGGAAUUCGAUGGUUUGGAGGAACUUGUCUUAUGCAUUCACUUCUUUCUGUAGGGUCCUAAGAGCAAGAACCCACUUGCAUACAAAUGGUACAAUGCAGAUGAGGAGAUUCUUGGAAAAAAGAUGAAGGUUAGUUUUCAGAAACUUUUUACCAUUUUCUGAAUUCGAAUUCCCACGUAUAUUUACCCUAACCCAGCCUCCAACUCCCCCCAACCAAAAAAUGUCAUUUCAAGUUGCUUAGUAACGGCAUCCAUGAACUCACUAUUUGCAUCUAGGAUUGGAUGAGAUUCAGUGUUGCAUUUUGGCAUACAUUUCGUGGGACUGGAGCUGACCCAUUUGGUGCACCUACAAAACUUUGGCCGUGGGAGGACGGUACCAAUUCCUUGGCCAUGGCUAAGAGAAGAAGUAAGAUAAAUAAUUUGUUACUCUUCUGAAUUAUUACUUGUCGUAACUAUACAAUCUUUAAAAUAGGUAAUUUUCACAUUAUGUUUGUAUGAUUCAGUGAGAGCAAACUUUGAGUUCUUGGAAAAGCUUGGACUUGAUCGAUGGUGUUUUCAUGAUAGGGACAUUGCUCCUGAUGGUAAAACAAUUGAGGUAAGAUAUUUUACGUUCUUAUAUGUUUAUUAUACUCCAUUUUAUUUUUAGGACACAAGUAAGAGAUUGUUGUACAGAGGUCACUUGGACCGUGUUGUAUGCUUACGCAAACUUAAUAGCAGAGUCGAGUCAGUAUGGCUAAAGCUUGAAAAGUUUCUUAGUUUUGUAUUCUCACUAUUGGCUUGACCAUUGUUUUGGAUGGGACGAAAUUGACAUUAUCCAGGUAGCAAUUUCUGGAGUUCAUAAUAUAGUUAACUGGCCAAAUAUUGUUAAAUUUCACUUCUUAAGGGUUUUUUUGCAAUUUGGAAUUUUAUUAUCAGUAAAUUUAUCCAAAAGAGCCACUGUUUAUGAUGCAGGAAACCAAUGCCAACUUGGAUGAAGUGGUAGCUCUUGCAAAAGAGCUUCAGGUAAUUUCUAACUGAUCAAGUAUAUAUCAUACGUUCUAUACAGUAAUCAAAAUAUAAGAUUUCAUUUUAAGCAAGAGCAAAAAAGCUGUUUUGACAUUCUGUCUUUUUAGGCUUUUAGUCUUCUGCUUUGAGAUGGAUCUCUGCUAGAGAAUAUGGUGUAAUGAUCAGUCUGUAUUAUUCUCUGUUCUCCCUGUUGGAUCCUUGAUAAGUAUUAAUUAUUUAGUUUUCUUCUGGUUUAAUUCUCUCUCUUAUUUCUUGUGUAACUCCUCAGGGGACGAAGAUUCGUCCUUUGUGGGGCACAGCCCAGUUGUUUCUGCAUCCUCGCUUCAUGCAUGGUGCUGCUACCAGGUAAUCAUGCUCUCUAAUGGAUUUAAUGAUCUCAAAAUUAUCAAUGAUGAGCUCAUAUUCUUUUAAUUCUUGAAGUACAGCUCUGAAUUAGGUGUAUAUGCCUAUUCUGCAGCACAAGUUAAGAAAGCCAUCGAGGUGUGUUUCUCAUUUUGGUGUUGAUAAUCCUUGAAAUUGCCUUGCCUUGUUGUUUAUUAUUAUGUGUUCAAGUGUGAGGUAUGGGACAAAAAAUCUUUACUUCAGUGGUGAGAGUAUGAAAGGGGAUACUGAUAGAUCUCACAUCUGAUGCUAUGGGCUACAUGUGUUGGUUAAGUGCAACUGCUCUUUACAUGUCAAUUGCACUUGCCUGCUUCUGUCAAAUUGAUUUUGCUGGUUUUAAUUCUGCAGGUCACUCAUUAUCUUGGUGGGGAAAAUUAUGUUUUCUGGGGUGGUAGAGAGGGCUAUCAAACCCUUGUGAACACUGAUAUGGAAAGAGAGCUGAAUCAUUUGGUAAUUUCUUUGUCGGCCCUUUUGUGGAGCAACUGCUAAAACUUAUAUUUCUGUACAACGUCUUCAUUUUCAUCUCUUGCUAUUUUGUCUAUUAGUUUUUAUCAAACAGAUCCAGCUAAACAUUACCACAGACUAAAGAAUUUAUUCUCUUUGUGGUUAUGCAACCUAGUACAUUGUUUCAUACAUAGUUGGAUCUCUAGCUAAGUAUAACAAUUAGUUGGAUCUCUUCGCAGGCGAGGUUUCUUGAAGCUGCUGUUGCCUACAAGAAGAAGAUUGGUUUCAAUGGUAUUUUUCUACAUUCACUUUGUUGAGUAUAUAUUUUAAUUUGAUUGAUUUAUGAGAUGAUGUGCUAAGAACUAGUAGUUUUGAAGUAGAAACUGUGUUUUAGCAUUCCUAUGUGCUUAUUAUCUCUUUGCCUUGACUUAUCUAAUUCUUUUUCAUUAUUCACAGGGACCUUUCUCAUUGAGCCUAAGCCUCAAGAGCCUACAAAACACCAGUGCGUUUAUGUUUUAAUGUUUGAUUGUGCAUUUUAGUCCAUAAUUUUGGGCAUAUUCAUUUGUUUUGAUGGAUGGCAGGUACGAUUGGGAUGCUGCAACAUCAGCUAAUUUCUUGCGCAAAUAUGGCCUCAUAGGUGAGUUUUACACUCUUGUAGCCCCUAUUUUACUAGUAAAUGUGAGUAUUAUUUCUCUUGGAGUGAGUGUUGAAAGUCAAAAGUCCAUUGCAUCAUCAAGCUCCAAUCUUGAUUUGUCAUUGUUUCUGGUAUCUUUUGAGAUAUCAGUGUUCUGCAAUUGUGCUUGCCCGCAUGGAUCGACUCUAUAAUUGCAGCUAAUCGAAUCAUAAAUAAGCAUCAUGUAUACCCUUGAGGACAGUGGAAGAGAUAACUUUGCUUUAUGAUGGUUCUUGUCUUGAUGUUCACUGCUUGUACCACCUUCUGCAGAUGAAUUCAAACUGAACAUUGAAUGCAACCAUGCCACUCUAUCUGGUCACAGGUUUGAAAAUUUCCUGAUUUCGACAUUCUAGUUGAAAUCUCUACUUUAUCUGGCUUUUCAGUUGAUUUGAAUUCCGAUGUGAACAAAUGGAAUGAGUUGUUUUUACAUGCUCCUUUUUGUAUUGCAGCUGUCAUCAUGAACUUGAAACUGCUAGAAUAAAUGGUUUGCUGGGAAAUAUUGAUGCAAACAGUGGCGACCCUCAAACUGUUACUUGAAGUUCAUGAUCAAUAGUUGUUCUUUUGGUCAUGGCAGAGACUUGUUAUCCUGUGAAAAUCAUUUUUGGCUAUAGGUUGGGACACAGAUCAAUUUCUAAUGGAUAUCCAGGAAGCAACCUUGGUUAUGCUCAGUGUUAUUAGAAAUGUAUGUACAGUAUGGUCUAUCUCUUGAACAUAUUAAAAUUGAUGGCAAAUGUUAAAUGAUCACUGUUUAACAGUUUACUGUCAAUUACAGGGAGGAUUAGCACCAGGAGGGUUCAAUUUUGAUGCCAAAUUGUUAGCUUCUUCUCCCACUUUGUUGUUUUAGUCUCAUUUCUUUUGCCAAUGCAUAUCCUGUUAAUUGCGAUGGAUUUAUUUGUAAUUUUUGUCCAGUAUGUUUAGAUGGAAUGGGUGCAACUCGGUUUAGUAGUGCUUUAAAAAAAAAAAAAUUGUAGUCAGUGCAUAAGUGGGAGACAACUCAAAUUUGUAAAACUUCUUUGCACAAUUAUACGAACGAUUUUGAUAUGGUGGAAUUGAAAGUAAACCCACGCCAUUGUGGAAAAAUGCAGAAUAUAUUUGACCUCUCUGGCCUUUAUAUCCAUGGAUGAACCUUGCCUUGCAAUGAAGAUUCUAUUUAGAAUUUUGCUUCACAAUUUUAUUCAUCGCUAUUUAUCAGGCGAAGGGAGAGCACAGAUGUUGAGGAUUUGUUCAUUGGCCACAUUGCUGGAAUGGAUACUCUUGCACGUGGUCUUCGAAAUGCUGCGAAGCUGAUUGAGGUGAUGUUUCUCACUCGAUAAUUACUUUUUUACUUUCACCUCUCCCUUUCUAAAGAUGCUUAAACUUUUUAAGCAAACGAUGACGUUUGUUUUGGGGCAUUGAUCCUGAAAACAGGAUGGCUCUUUGGAUGAACUUGUUCGCAAGAGAUAUCAAAGUUUUGAUACAGAACUGGGAGCCCAGAUCGAGGUGACAUUCUUUGGUUUAAGCUUUUAACUGAUGCUUUGACUAGUCAUCACUUUGCUUCCUUUUAUCUCAAACGAAUUUCUGAUAAUGUGUCAUAACAGGCUGGGAAGGCGGAUUUCGAACUGCUUGAGAAGAAAGCCAAGGAGUGGGGAGAACCCAAAGUUCCUUCUGCCAAGCAGGUAAGUCUUAAGACGAACAGUUCUUAUAGCGACUGUUAAGUGCAUUUUGCUGUUUUUCACUGACUGAAUAUCUUGUAAAUUGAUCUAGGAACUUGCGGAGAUGAUUCUCCAGGCUGCAUUAUAGAAGAGAGUCGUUCAACUUAAAAACACCUUUACUCAAAAAUGCUGUCCCACCUCCGUACUUCUUCCUCCAUGCCCUUGUUCUAGAGAAUAAUCCCUGGUGCCUUUUAGCAGCAGUACAGGUUGUUGUGCCGAAGAGUCAAUGACACAUCUCAGCAUUAUCUAUUAUAUUUUACCUUGUGUAGUUAGCUAAAGACUACUAUUUAGUUGAUAAUUUGAUGCCAUAGCUCUAUAGGAACAACCCCCCCCCCCCUCCUCCUCCUCCUCUCCCUUUCUCUCUCUCGUUGUACCCCCAUAUGGUGGGAGGCUAGAUGAAAAUCCUUAUCAGACGUUUUUUGGUAAAAAUCCAUUUGAACAAUUCUUGCGGAUUAAUACUAUAACCAAAGAUCUCCUGCCCAUGUGAAACCACUGCUUCAAGUAGACCGUCACCUGGCGGUCAAAUGUCACAGGCGUUUGUUCUCCAUCAUGCUGGCAGCUUGAGGGGUCUUAGUUUAUGUACGAAAGAUCGACAGCUUCAAACAUCUCACUCCUUCACAAUGCACUCGACGGUCAAUCCAAGGAUAUUUUCAACAUUCAGGGUGUGGUUUGAUCAAUGAACCAAUCUCUUCAAGAAUUUAGAAUUUGAAAAUUCUGAGUUCAAAUACCCCAUUUCCCCUGCCUUUGCUGAUUUUUUUUUCUCCAAAAGACCAAUCAAUCUCUCGAUUUUCCAAUUUACUCUUUUUCUAUUUUGACCUAUUUCAGCUUCUAAGGACUAGCAGACUUAAUUAGAACAAAAGAAUGGUUUGGUACUUCCUUUGAAUUCUUUUGACUACAAGUAGAAUUCGAAAUCCAAAGAAGGGUUUAGUCUUUUUUGGUAACCGGUUAGCCAAAGCUAGUGGUUCUUGGGUUUGUCGUACACGUAGGCCCUUUUCUUUUUGUCGUAAUUCAGGAGCGGAUUGUUGUCAUUUUCGCUAGAACUUGUCAAAUCAUGAAACGGAGAGCUUCUCUGUUAUAAAGAUAUUUUAUUUUAGUGGCGUUGAUUGUUAUUGUGGCUACCUCAAUUUUCUGUGGAGGAUUGUUGUGGUUUCUUCAAUUUUCUGAAACACAUUCCUGAUGAAUGACAUCUUUCACGUUAUGGUCACAAAAUGUACUCCACUAAAUUCGAAUUUUGAUUUUCUAUAAGAUCCUACCUUUGGAAAGUGCCACCAAACAUGUUGAAGUAGCUUUUUUAAAGAAAACUGAUUCUCCAUUGUGAUAUUUCCAGUUUUUGCAUUUUCUUCCGCCUUAAGAGUGUUACCAACAUGAGCAGUGCAACUGUGCAAAGGAACUUUGGGUUGAAAGGACUUGGGAAUUUUGAUAGUACAGUUAAACUACAGCGCCCUACUCUAAUGUGAAAAUAGCCAAAUACUAAUCGAACAGAAACCAGCAAGUUUACAAGCACAGUCCCACCACAUUUUUUUUUUGGUCCCACCACGUUAGUAAUUAACCAUAGGAUGAUUUUAAAACCUACCGAUAGCCAUCUUGGUUCAAAUUUCAUAUUCCUUGUCACCCAUCACCAAUUUGAGGAUCUCCAAUCAAUAUACCCCAGGAGAUCCAUUUUAUGAGUCAGAAGCACAUAACAGCAGUUGCAAUGCAAGGCAGGCAAAGGAAUCAGAAGAAGCAAAGUCAUGCCGAAUUGUCAAGAGCAUAUUGAAACCAAAGCUGCCACUGGAGGUUAAAGGAAAGAACAGGAACUAAAUUGUCAAUAUUAUGUCAUUUAGAAGUUAGUAAAACGUCGUCUCCGCUACACCAUACAUAAGAACACUUAAUGCAAGACCAAAUUCCAGUUUUCUGGACCACGUGCAAUUAAGUUUUACUUGUCAAACGUCAGAUAGCAGUUGCUCUAGUUGAAGAGGACCAAUUCUAGAGUCUAGACUACAGGUUCUUCGGCCUCCAGCUCUGUGCGAAAAAUACAUCUAAGCGAGAAUUUCAAAAAGAAAAUAAAGCUGGAAGACCAAAAAAUUACAUGCUUUAAAAGACUUAGAGCACGCUUACUUGUAGCUACCUAAAAGAAAAUGGGUCUCGCAUGCUUCAGACUGACUAGUCUUAGUAAAGAAACAGGAAUUCGACAUUACUUCACAUAAUAUUUAAACAUACUCUGUUGAUCACCAUGCGUACCACAAGUCAUCGGAAAUACCGGACAAAAGGGCCUAACAGAUAGAAGUAGGGGAUUAUCAUUUGAACCACACUUCUUUCUGUUCUCAAAGAAGCAGCUCCAGAAACACUUCCAUUCAAGGAAACAAAUAAAACUUUUUCUCACCCAUCCCUCAAAAACAAAAAAGUUGCAAGCAAAUUCUUGCAAGUAAUGUAAGGAAGCAUAUUGAGGAAGAAAUCUUUUGGCAAGUGUUGCAUUCUAUUAAAGCAAACUUUCAACAUCAGAUGUCCAUAAAGCAAGCUCCCAGCAAGGGAAUCAGAUGACUCCACAAUUAGCAUUAAAGUAAGUAGCAUCAACAAAAGACUAACUUGUGAAAAACAACUAAUACUAAUCCCAAAGAAGACUAACUUCUCAAAAGAACAAUCACCGGACAACAACAUAGGGGACUAACUUGCAAAAACUGACUUGUCAACAAAAC